Molecule: ribosomal RNA, 253 nt
Filed under: Aggregatilinea sp.
Lineage: Bacteria; Bacillati; Chloroflexota; Anaerolineae; Aggregatilineales; Aggregatilineaceae
Also listed under: 1 other name
Description: partial 16S ribosomal RNA
Rfam family: Bacterial small subunit ribosomal RNA
Source: RNAcentral
AACGUAGGAGACAAACGUUAUCCGGAGUUACUGGGCGUAAAGGGCGUGUAGGUGGUUUUGUAAGUCUGGCGUGAAAUUUUUCGGCUUAACCGGGAAAGGUCGUCGGAUACUGCGGGACUAGAGGACGGUAGAGGCGUGUGGAAUUCCGGGUGUAGUGGUGAAAUGCGUAGAGAUCCGGAGGAACACCAGUGGCGAAGGCGACACGCUGGGCCGUACCUGACACUGAUGCGCGACAGCAUGGGGAGCAAACAGG